GUCGAGAAUCUUCCACCAAUGUGCGAAAGCAUGAUGGAGCGACGCCGCGUGGGCGAUGAAGGCCUUCGGGUUGUAAAGCCCUGUUGGAUGGGCGUAAUCCCUGGGGAUGAAUACUCUUCCAGGUUGAACUCCCAUCGGAGGAAGCACCGGCUAAACUCGUGCCAGCAGCCGCGGUAAUACGAGUGGUGCGAGCGUUGUUCGGAAUUACUGGGCAUAAAGAGCACGUAGGCGGUCUGGUAAGUCUGCUGUGAAAUCCCCCGGCUCAACCGGGGAACUGCAGUUGAUACUGCUGGGCUAGAGUGCGGGAGGGGAGAGCGGAAUUCCUGGUGGAGCGGUGAUAUGCGUAGAUAUCAGGAGGAACGCCGGAGGCGAAAGCGGCUCUCUGGUCCGUAACUGACGCUGAGGUGCGAAAGCUAGGGGAGCGAACAGGAUUAGAAACCCCGGUAGUCC
This 450-nucleotide ribosomal RNA is filed under the name uncultured bacterium. RNAcentral describes it as "bacterial SSU rRNA". It matches the Rfam family "Bacterial small subunit ribosomal RNA", at positions 354 to 796 of the family's 1533-position model. The record is from RNAcentral.